RNAcentral lists this ribosomal RNA (513 nucleotides) under uncultured archaeon. RNAcentral's name for it is "bacterial SSU rRNA". It matches the Rfam family "Archaeal small subunit ribosomal RNA", at positions 334 to 848 of the family's 1478-position model. The record is from RNAcentral.
AGCAGGCGCGAAACCUUCACAAUGUGCGAAAGCGCGAUGAGGGAAUCCCAAGUGCUUGCUCGUCAGAGUAAGCUGUUUUUUUGUUUAAAAAGCAAAAAGAGAAAGGGCUGGGUAAGACGGGUGCCAGCCGCCGCGGUAAUACCUGCAGCUCAAGUGGUGACCGCUAUUAUUGGGCCUAAAACAUCCGUAGCCGGCUGAGUAAAUGCUUGGGUAAAUCGUGUAGCUUAACUAUACGAAUUCCGAGUAGACUGCUCAGCUUGAGACCGGGAGAAGCUAGAGGUACUCCUGGGGUAGAGGUGAAAUUCUGUAAUCCUGGGGGGACCACCAGUGGCGAAGGCGUCUAGCUAGAACGGGUCUGACGGUGAGGGAUGAAACCCUGGGGCGCAAACCGGAUUAGAUACCCGGGUAGUCCAGGGCGCAAACGCUGUUUGCUUGAUGUUAGCUGGGCUCCGAGCUCAGCUAGUGUCGGAGAGAAGUUGUUAAGCAAGCUGCCUGGGAAGUACGAUCGCAAGA